Molecule: ribosomal RNA, 253 nt
Filed under: uncultured bacterium
Lineage: Bacteria
Description: partial 16S ribosomal RNA
Rfam family: Bacterial small subunit ribosomal RNA
Source: RNAcentral
UACGUAGGGUGCAAGCGUUGUCCGGAAUUACUGGGCGUAAAGCGUGCGCAGGCGGUGAUGUAAGACAGAUGUGAAAUCCCCGGGCUCAACCUGGGAACUGCAUUUGUGACCGCAUCGCUGGAGUGCGGCAGAGGGGGAUGGAAUUCCGCGUGUAGCAGUGAAAUGCGUAGAUAUGCGGAGGAACACCGAUGGCGAAGGCAAUCCCCUGGGCCUGCACUGACGCUCAUGCACGAAAGCGUGGGGAGCAAACAGG